UUAACCGCGAGGUUUGGUCCAGAGGAAGCCGCUAGCAAAAUUGCGAGCUGAUGAAUAAGAACAUCAUAUGUGGCGCUGGCUGGAGGCGAGUUGGCACAAGACAACGAAGCCAAGUGAUCGGUCUAUAACCAGUAAGGUUUUGCCACGACAAUUAGAUGU
This 159-nucleotide non-coding RNA is filed under the name Vibrio spartinae. Lineage: Bacteria; Pseudomonadati; Pseudomonadota; Gammaproteobacteria; Vibrionales; Vibrionaceae. The record is from RNAcentral.